Molecule: transfer RNA, 73 nt
Filed under: Paralongidorus litoralis
Lineage: Eukaryota; Metazoa; Nematoda; Enoplea; Dorylaimida; Longidoridae
Description: tRNA-Cys
Source: RNAcentral
AGUUUUUUUGUUACCUAAUUGAAGGAACUCAAGAGUUGCAAACUCUUAAUUGAACUCUUUCUGUCAGAAGUUU